Daucus carota subsp. sativus is the source of this 517-nucleotide long non-coding RNA. RefSeq lists it as uncharacterized. The transcript is spliced from 2 exons. Lineage: Eukaryota; Viridiplantae; Streptophyta; Magnoliopsida; Apiales; Apiaceae. The record is from RefSeq and is a predicted model, not a curated record.
AUGGAAGUGUAACAGCAUCAAGUCAUAUACUCUGCACAUCUAUAAGUUCUCAGUCAGGAAUAACAAAACAAACACAGAGAUGGUGUUUCAGAACAAGACCUUGUCGAUUUCUCUGAUAUGGCUCAUUGUCGCCGCGUCUUUCAUGAUGUGUGCUUAUGCAAGUGCUGAAACAAGUGCUCGACCUCAAAAUGCAGACCCGAGAUUCCCUUCUCUGGCUGGUUGUCGCUGCUGUAAUUUUAUCCUUGUGAAGAAUUUCAUCCAGUGUGGAACGGUAUGCUGCAAGGAUGGAUGUUGUGGUCGCAAGUGAAGCUCCUGUCAGCCACACCAUGCAUCAAGCCAUGAAUAAUGCAGUCGAACGACGAUAUAUCUCCAUCUGGAGACGCUUCAUCCUUGAUUGUCAAUUUACUUCUAUUUCCUGUUAAAAAUGUUUGGUAACUGAAAAAAGUGUAAUAAGUUCGAACAUGUAAUAAAUAACACAUAUUACUAAAAUAUAUAUGCAGCUUUAGGCUUUUCAUAA